GGGGGAUCUUCGGACCUCACGCCAUCGGAUGUGCCCAGAUGGGAUUAGCUAGUAGGUGAGGUAAUGGCUCACCUAGGCGACGAUCCCUAGCUGGUCUGAGAGGAUGACCAGCCACACUGGAACUGAGACACGGUCCAGACUCCUACGGGAGGCAGCAGUGGGGAAUAUUGCACAAUGGGCGCAAGCCUGAUGCAGCCAUGCCGCGUGUGUGAAGAAGGCCUUAGGGUUGUAAAGCACUUUCAGCGAGGAGGAAGGCAUCACACUUAAUACGUGUGUUGAUUGACGUUACUCGCAGAAGAAGCACCGGCUAACUCCGUGCCAGCAGCCGCGGUAAUACGGAGGGUGCAAGCGUUAAUCGGAAUUACUGGGCGUAAAGCGCACGCAGGCGGUUUGUUAAGUCAGAUGUGAAAUCCCCGAGCUUAACUUGGGAACUGCAUUUGAAACUGGCAAGCUAGAGUCUUG
Molecule: ribosomal RNA, 462 nt
Filed under: Rahnella aquatilis
Lineage: Bacteria; Pseudomonadati; Pseudomonadota; Gammaproteobacteria; Enterobacterales; Yersiniaceae
Description: bacterial SSU rRNA
Rfam family: Bacterial small subunit ribosomal RNA
Source: RNAcentral